This 2143-nucleotide ribosomal RNA is filed under the name Bacillus anthracis (anthrax bacterium). RNAcentral's name for it is "partial 23S ribosomal RNA". It matches the Rfam family "Bacterial large subunit ribosomal RNA", at positions 622 to 2771 of the family's 2925-position model. The record is from RNAcentral. Lineage: Bacteria; Bacillati; Bacillota; Bacilli; Caryophanales; Bacillaceae.
GGCGAGUUACGAUCCCGUGCGAGGUUAAGCUGAAGAGGCGGAGCCGCAGCGAAAGCGAGUCUGAAUAGGGCGUUUAGUACGUGGUCGUAGACCCGAAACCAGGUGAUCUACCCAUGUCCAGGGUGAAGUUCAGGUAACACUGAAUGGAGGCCCGAACCCACGCACGUUGAAAAGUGCGGGGAUGAGGUGUGGGUAGCGGAGAAAUUCCAAUCGAACCUGGAGAUAGCUGGUUCUCCCCGAAAUAGCUUUAGGGCUAGCCUUAAGUGUAAGAGUCUUGGAGGUAGAGCACUGAUUGGACUAGGGGUCCUCAUCGGAUUACCGAAUUCAGUCAAACUCCGAAUGCCAAUGACUUAUCCUUAGGAGUCAGACUGCGAGUGAUAAGAUCCGUAGUCAAAAGGGAAACAGCCCAGACCGCCAGCUAAGGUCCCAAAGUGUGUAUUAAGUGGAAAAGGAUGUGGAGUUGCUUAGACAACUAGGAUGUUGGCUUAGAAGCAGCCACCAUUUAAAGAGUGCGUAAUAGCUCACUAGUCGAGUGACUCUGCGCCGAAAAUGUACCGGGGCUAAAUACACCACCGAAGCUGCGGAUUGAUACCAAUGGUAUCAGUGGUAGGGGAGCGUUCUAAGGACAGUGAAGUCAGACCGGAAGGACUGGUGGAGUGCUUAGAAGUGAGAAUGCCGGUAUGAGUAGCGAAAGACGGGUGAGAAUCCCGUCCACCGAAUGCCUAAGGUUUCCUGAGGAAGGCUCGUCCGCUCAGGGUUAGUCAGGACCUAAGCCGAGGCCGACAGGCGUAGGCGAUGGACAACAGGUUGAUAUUCCUGUACCACCUCUUUAUCGUUUGAGCAAUGGAGGGACGCAGAAGGAUAGAAGAAGCGUGCGAUUGGUUGUGCACGUCCAAGCAGUUAGGCUGAUAAGUAGGCAAAUCCGCUUAUCGUGAAGGCUGAGCUGUGAUGGGGAAGCUCCUUAUGGAGCGAAGUCUUUGAUUCCCCGCUGCCAAGAAAAGCUUCUAGCGAGAUAAAAGGUGCCUGUACCGCAAACCGACACAGGUAGGCGAGGAGAGAAUCCUAAGGUGUGCGAGAGAACUCUGGUUAAGGAACUCGGCAAAAUGACCCCGUAACUUCGGGAGAAGGGGUGCUUUCUUAACGGAAAGCCGCAGUGAAUAGGCCCAAGCGACUGUUUAGCAAAAACACAGCUCUCUGCGAAGCCGUAAGGCGAAGUAUAGGGGGUGACACCUGCCCGGUGCUGGAAGGUUAAGGAGAGGGGUUAGCGUAAGCGAAGCUCUGAACUGAAGCCCCAGUAAACGGCGGCCGUAACUAUAACGGUCCUAAGGUAGCGAAAUUCCUUGUCGGGUAAGUUCCGACCCGCACGAAAGGUGUAACGAUUUGGGCACUGUCUCAACCAGAGACUCGGUGAAAUUAUAGUACCUGUGAAGAUGCAGGUUACCCGCGACAGGACGGAAAGACCCCGUGGAGCUUUACUGUAGCCUGAUAUUGAAUUUUGGUACAGUUUGUACAGGAUAGGCGGGAGCCUUUGAAACCGGAGCGCUAGCUUCGGUGGAGGCGCUGGUGGGAUACCGCCCUGACUGUAUUGAAAUUCUAACCUACGGGUCUUAUCGACCCGGGAGACAGUGUCAGGUGGGCAGUUUGACUGGGGCGGUCGCCUCCUAAAGUGUAACGGAGGCGCCCAAAGGUUCCCUCAGAAUGGUUGGAAAUCAUUCGUAGAGUGCAAAGGCAUAAGGGAGCUUGACUGCGAGACCUACAAGUCGAGCAGGGACGAAAGUCGGGCUUAGUGAUCCGGUGGUUCCGCAUGGAAGGGCCAUCGCUCAACGGAUAAAAGCUACCCCGGGGAUAACAGGCUUAUCUCCCCCAAGAGUCCACAUCGACGGGGAGGUUUGGCACCUCGAUGUCGGCUCAUCGCAUCCUGGGGCUGUAGUCGGUCCCAAGGGUUGGGCUGUUCGCCCAUUAAAGCGGUACGCGAGCUGGGUUCAGAACGUCGUGAGACAGUUCGGUCCCUAUCCGUCGUGGGCGUAGGAAAUUUGAGAGGAGCUGUCCUUAGUACGAGAGGACCGGGAUGGACGCACCGCUGGUGUACCAGUUGUUCUGCCAAGGGCAUAGCUGGGUAGCUAUGUGCGGAAGGGAUAAGUGC